Molecule: ribosomal RNA, 399 nt
Filed under: uncultured bacterium
Lineage: Bacteria
Description: bacterial SSU rRNA
Rfam family: Bacterial small subunit ribosomal RNA
Source: RNAcentral
GACGAACGCUGGCGGCGUGCCUAACACAUGCAAGUCGAACGGAGUUAACUUUUCAGAUCCCUUCGGGGUGAAGAGUUGUUAACUUAGUGGCGGACGGGUGAGUAACGCGUGAGCAACCUGCCUUACAGAGGGGGACAACAGUUGGAAACGACUGCUAAUACCGCAUAACAUACCGAGUGGGCAUCCACAUGGUAUCAAAGGAGCAAUCCGCUGUAAGAUGGGCUCGCGUCCGAUUAGAUAGUUGGUGAGGUAACGGCUCACCAAGUCGACGAUCGGUAGCCGGACUGAGAGGUUGAUCGGCCACAUUGGGACUGAGAUACGGCCCAGACUCCUACGGAGGCAGCAGUGGGGAAUAUUGGGCAAUGGGGGAAACCCUGACCCAGCAACGCCGCGUGAAGG